This 429-nucleotide ribosomal RNA is filed under the name Bacteroidota bacterium. Its description in RNAcentral is "Bacteroidetes bacterium partial 16S ribosomal RNA". It matches the Rfam family "Bacterial small subunit ribosomal RNA", at positions 355 to 776 of the family's 1533-position model. The record is from RNAcentral. Lineage: Bacteria; Pseudomonadati; Bacteroidota.
UAGGGAAUCUUCCGCAAUGGACGCAAGUCUGACGGAGCAACGCCGCGUGAGUGAAGAAGGAUUUCGGUUCGUAAAACUCUGUUGUUAGAGAAGAACAGCGCAUAGAGUAACUGAUAUGCGUGUGACGGUAUCUAACCAGAAAGCCACGGCUAACUACGUGCCAGCAGCCGCGGUAAUACGUAGGUGGCAAGCGUUGUCCGGAUUUAUUGGGCGUAAAGCGAGCGCAGGCGGUCAAUUAAGUCUGAUGUGAAAGCCCCCGGCUCAACCGGGGAGGGUCAUUGGAAACUGGUUGACUGGAGUGCAGAAGAGGAGAGUGGAAUUCCAUGUGUAGCGGUGAAAUGCGUAGAUAUCGGGAAGAACACCAAUGGCGAAGGCGACUCUCUGGUCUGUAACUGACGCUGAGGUUCGAAAGCGUGGGUAGCAAACAGG